Molecule: unclassified non-coding RNA, 329 nt
Filed under: soil metagenome
Description: partial contains 5.8S ribosomal RNA, internal transcribed spacer 2, and large subunit ribosomal RNA
Rfam family: 5.8S ribosomal RNA (bases 1-120)
Source: RNAcentral
GAUGAAGAACGCAGCGAAAUGCGAUAAGUAGUGUGAAUUGCAGAAUUCAGUGAAUCAUCGAAUCUUUGAACGCACAUUGCGCCCCUUGGUAUCCCGAGGGGCAUGCCUGUUCGAGCGUCAUUUCACCACUCAAGCCUGGCUUGGUGUUGGGCGACGUCCCCUUUAGAGACGCGCCUCGAAACGCUCGGCGGCGUGGCACCGGCUUUAAGCGUAGCAGAAUCUUUCGCUUUGGAAGUCGGGGCCCCGCCUGCCGGAAUACCUACUCGUAAGGUUGACCUCGGAUCAGGCAGGGAUACCCGCUGAACUUAAGCAUAUCAAUAAGCGGAGGA